GCCAGACUCCUACGGGAGGCAGCAGUGGGGGAUAUUGCACAAUGGGGGGAACCCUGAUGCAGCGACGCCGCGUGGGUGAAGGAGUAUUUCGGUAUGUAAAGCCCUAUCGGCAGGGAAGAAGCAAGACGGUACCUGACUAAGAAGCCCCGGCUAACUACGUGCCAGCAGCCGCGGUAAUACGUAGGGGGCGAGCGUUAUCCGGAUUCACUGGGUGUAAAGGGAGCGUAGACGGCCAAGCAAGCCAGGGGUGAAAGCCCGGGGCCCAACCCCGGGACUGCCCUUGGAACUGCUUGGCUGGAGUGCGGGAGGGGCAGGCGGAAUUCCUGGUGUAGCGGUGAAAUGCGUAGAUAUUAGGAGGAACACCAGUGGCGAAGGCGGUCUGCUGGACAGCAACUGACGGUGAGGCGCGAAAGCGUGGGGAGCAAACAGGAUUAGAUACCCUCGUA
Molecule: ribosomal RNA, 446 nt
Filed under: uncultured bacterium
Lineage: Bacteria
Description: partial 16S ribosomal RNA
Rfam family: Bacterial small subunit ribosomal RNA
Source: RNAcentral